Molecule: ribosomal RNA, 1157 nt
Filed under: Cupriavidus yeoncheonensis
Lineage: Bacteria; Pseudomonadati; Pseudomonadota; Betaproteobacteria; Burkholderiales; Burkholderiaceae
Description: 23S ribosomal RNA (partial)
Rfam family: Bacterial large subunit ribosomal RNA
Source: RNAcentral
UCAAGCGAACAAGUGCAUGUGGUGGAUGCCUUGGCGAUCACAGGCGAUGAAGGACGCGGUAGCCUGCGAAAAGCUUCGGGGAGCUGGCAAACGAGCUUUGAUCCGGAGAUGUCCGAAUGGGGAAACCCGGCCCGUAUGGGUCAUCCCUGACUGAAUACAUAGGUCAGGGAAGCGAACGCGGCGAACUGAAACAUCUAAGUAGCUGCAGGAACAGAAAUCAACCGAGAUUCCCAGAGUAGUGGCGAACGAAAUGGGAAGAGCCUUGUACUCUUUAGCAGUGUUGUUAGCAGAACGGGAUGGAAAGCCCGGCCAUAGCAGGUGAUAGCCCUGUAUGCGAAAACAGCGUUGUGGAACUAGGUGUACGACAAGUAGGGCGGGACACGUGAAAUCCUGUCUGAAGAUGGGGGGACCAUCCUCCAAGGCUAAAUACUCGUGAUCGACCGAUAGUGAACCAGUACCGUGAGGGAAAGGCGAAAAGAACCCCGGGAGGGGAGUGAAAUAGAUCCUGAAACCGCAUGCAUACAAACAGUCGGAGCCUGGAAACGGGUGACGGCGUACCUUUUGUAUAAUGGGUCAGCGACUUACAUUCAGUGGCGAGCUUAACCGAUUAGGGCAGGCGUAGCGAAAGCGAGUCCGAACAGGGCGAUUAGUCGCUGGGUGUAGACCCGAAACCAGAUGAUCUAUCCAUGGCCAGGUUGAAGGUGCGGUAACACGUACUGGAGGACCGAACCCACUAACGUUGAAAAGUUAGGGGAUGAGCUGUGGAUAGGGGUGAAAGGCUAAACAAAUCUGGAAAUAGCUGGUUCUCUCCGAAAACUAUUUAGGUAGUGCCUCGUGUGUCACCUUCGGGGGUAGAGCACUGUCAUGGUUGGGGGGUCUAUUGCUGAUUACCCCGCCAUAGCAAACUCCGAAUACCGAAGAGUGCAAUCACGGGAGACAGACAUCGGGUGCUAACGUCCGGUGUCAAGAGGGAAACAACCCAGACCGCCAGCUAAGGUCCCCAAGAUUGGCUAAGUGGGAAACGAAGUGGGAAGGCUAAAACAGUCAGGAGGUUGGCUUAGAAGCAGCCACCCUUUAAAGAAAGCGUAAUAGCUCACUGAUCGAGUCGUCCUGCGCGGAAGAUGUAACGGGGCUAAGCCAGUCACCGAAGCUGCGGA